UACGUAAGGGCAAGCGUUAUCCGGAUUUACUGGGUGUAAAGGGAGCGUAGACGGUGAGGCAAGUCUGAUGUGAAAAACCCGGGGCGUCAACUCCGGGAUUGCAUUGGAAACUGUCUGACUUGAGUACUGGAGGGGUAAGCGGAAUUCCUGGUGUAGCGGUGAAAUGCGUAGAUAUCAGGAGGAACACCGGUGGCGAAGGCGGCUUACUGGACAGUAACUGACGUUGAGGCUCGAAAGCGUGGGGAGCAAACAGGAUUAGAUACCCUGGUAGUCCCUGAG
RNAcentral lists this ribosomal RNA (279 nucleotides) under uncultured prokaryote. RNAcentral describes it as "partial 16S ribosomal RNA". It matches the Rfam family "Bacterial small subunit ribosomal RNA", at positions 524 to 801 of the family's 1533-position model. The record is from RNAcentral.